CUUUGCAUAGACAACAGUGGUCCUAGGCUGGCUGCUCAGAGCUCUUAUUAAUGGGGCUUCCUGGAGACGCGGCCUGAGUGCACCAGACAGGUGAGCAGCAGCAAGAUGGGGCCACAGCCACACCUCCUCACCUUCUUGAUGCUCUGGGUCUCAGGUGUCUCUGGGGACAUCGUGAUGACCCAGUCUCCCAGCUCCGUGACUGCGUCUGCAGGAGAGAAGGUCACCAUCAAUUGUAAGUCCAGCCAGAGUGUGUUAUACAGCUCCAACCAGAAAAACUACUUAGCUUGGUACCAGCAGAGACCUGGACAGUCUCCUAGGCUGCUCAUCUACUGGGCAUCCACCCGAGAAUCGGGGGUCCCUGAUCGAUUCAGCAGCAGUGGGUCCACAACAGAUUUCACUCUUACCAUCAGCAGCUUCCAGCCUGAAGACGUGGCAGUGUAUUACUGCCAGCAGGGUUAUAGUGCUCCACUCACAGUGAUUCAGCCUCGAACAAAAACCUCCUCCCCGGGGCCACGGGGACAAGAAAGCUGAAAGAUGACUGAGGAC
Non-coding RNA from Vicugna pacos (alpaca), 546 nucleotides. The record is from the annotation of a RefSeq genome assembly. NCBI's taxonomy places the organism in Eukaryota, Metazoa, Chordata, Mammalia, Artiodactyla, Camelidae.